This 474-nucleotide ribosomal RNA is filed under the name uncultured bacterium. Its description in RNAcentral is "partial 16S ribosomal RNA". It matches the Rfam family "Bacterial small subunit ribosomal RNA", at positions 28 to 507 of the family's 1533-position model. The record is from RNAcentral.
GAUGAACGCUAGCGGCAGGCCUAACACAUGCAAGUCGAGGGAGGAGCCUUCGGGCUUCGACCGGCGUACGGGUGCGUAACGCGUAUACAAUCUGCCUUUCACAUAGGGAUAGCCCGAAGAAAUUUGGAUUAAUACCUAAUGGUAUAUAGAUGUGGCAUCACCUUUAUAUUAAAGCUGAGGCGGUGAAAGAUGAGUAUGCGUUCUAUUAGCUAGUUGGAGAGGUAACGGCUCCCCAAGGCGACGAUAGAUAGGGGUUCUGAGAGGGAUAUCCCCCACACUGGUACUGAGAUACGGACCAGACUCCUACGGGAGGCAGCAGUGAGGAAGAGUGGACAAUGGUCGGAAGACUGAUCCAGCCAUGCCGCGUGCAGGAAGACGGCCUUAUGGGUUGUAAACUGCUUUUGCAGGGGAAGAAUAAGGACUACGCGUAGUUUGAUGACGGUACUCUGCGAAUAAGCAUCGGCUAACUCCGUG